UGUGUUGAGGGGCGCGUUGGGGGCGGAGCCCGUAGUCUUCUAUGGAAAUAAAAGCCCGCGGUUUGCUCUGAAACGAAACUGAGGUAAAGUCUGUGAGGGAGUCGGUUCAUCUCGGUUCAUCUCGGUUCAUCGCGGUUCAUCACGUCAGCUGUAAUGACAGGAGAAACCAUCAGAUCUUAUAAAGAUGCUGCUGCCUCUCGUUUACCUGCAGACUUUAAUAAAACUCUGCCUACAGAUCCAAAAUUGCGGCAGCUAAUGAACUCCCUGAGAGUAGUUUUGGCUCAGCAUCCGGAUGGCAUCAGUCUGAACAAAGCUCGCCGGUCCUGUCCUCUUCUCUCAGACUCCGAGAUGCUGAAGGACCAUCAGUCCGUCCGACACCUGCUCCUGUCCCUGCCGCAGGUCGUGCGUAUGGAAGGGUUCGGUGUUCAAACACACCUCUUUCCUGCUGCCAAAAAUUAAACCUCUUUUCCACUCCAAUGAUUUUACAUCAAAUCCUCAGUGAGAACACUUUUUACUGCGUUAGUGAUAAAACACACCGUGAAGCGGAGAAACCUUUUUCUUUUCCCCAAACAGCACCAAGUCUUAUUAAUGUUUUAUUUAUUAACAACCAUCAUGCGCUUCAUCUGUUUACUAUUUAUUAUACAUACAGCAUUUAAUGAUGUGGAAGUUUUACAAGCUGCAACACAAAGACUUAAUUGUUCAGAUUAAAUUGUGUAUUUAUUAAAACACUAAUAUACAAUGA
This is a long non-coding RNA of Tachysurus fulvidraco (yellow catfish), 742 nucleotides long. RefSeq lists it as uncharacterized. Lineage: Eukaryota; Metazoa; Chordata; Actinopteri; Siluriformes; Bagridae. The record is from RefSeq and is a predicted model, not a curated record. The transcript has 3 exons.